RNAcentral lists this unclassified non-coding RNA (270 nucleotides) under uncultured fungus. Its description in RNAcentral is "partial contains 5.8S ribosomal RNA, internal transcribed spacer 2, and large subunit ribosomal RNA". The stretch from base 1 to 52 matches the Rfam family "5.8S ribosomal RNA", at positions 103 to 154 of the family's 154-position model. The record is from RNAcentral. Lineage: Eukaryota; Fungi.
AACGCAACUUGCGCCUCUUGGUAUUCCGAGAGGCAUGCCUGUUUGAGUGUCAUGAAUACCUCAAUCCCCCUGGGUUUUCCGCCCGGGGACGGUUGGAGAUGGGCGUCCUGCCGGUGUCGAGCCGGCUCGCCUCAAAGGUCUCAGUGGUGUCCUCGACCCCAUGCCUGACGUGAUAAGUUUCGUCUGGGCCGGGCCGGUGACGUCCGCUCACAACCCACCAUAUUCUGUGACUCUGACCUCAAAUCAGGUAGGGCUACCCGCUGAACUUAA